UGAGGAAUAUUGGUCAAUGGGCGAGAGCCUGAACCAGCCAAGUAGCGUGCAGGAUGACGGCGCUAUGGGUUGUAAACUGCUUUUAUGUGGGGAUAAAGUGCGUGACGUGUCAUGCAUUGCAGGUACCACAUGAAUAAGGACCGGCUAAUUCCGUGCCAGCAGCCGCGGUAAUACGGAAGGUCUGGGCGUUAUCCGGAUUUAUUGGGUUUAAAGGGAGCGUAGGCUGUCUAUUAAGCGUGUUGUGAAAUAUACCGGCUCAACCGGUGGCUUGCAGCGCGAACUGGUCGACUUGAGUAUGCAGGAAGUAGGCGGAAUUCAUGGUGUAGCGGUGAAAUGCUUAGAUAUCAUGACGAACACCGAUUGCGCAGGCAGCUUACUGUAGCAUAACUGACGCUGAUGCUCGAAAGUGCGGGUAUCAAACAGG
Molecule: ribosomal RNA, 424 nt
Filed under: Verrucomicrobiota bacterium
Lineage: Bacteria; Pseudomonadati; Verrucomicrobiota
Description: Verrucomicrobia bacterium partial 16S ribosomal RNA
Rfam family: Bacterial small subunit ribosomal RNA
Source: RNAcentral